GGGCAUCAUGACGCGGAGGAGACAUUACCGAGUUGCAAACUCCCAAACCCACGCGUACCUACCUACACGUUGCUUCGGCGGUGCCGCCGCGGGGGGUGCCCAGCUGCUGGGCCCCCCCGGGGCGCCCGCCGGAGGCCACUAAAACUCUUCUGUAUCUCGCGUACCAUCUGAGCGAAUGGCGAAUAAUAAAAACUUUCAACAACGGAUCUCUUGGUUCUGGCAUCGAUGAAGAACGCGGCGAAAUGCGAUACGUAAUGUGAAUUGCAGAAUUCAGUGAAUCAUCGAAUCUUUGAACGCACAUUGCGCCCGCCAGCAUUCUGGCGGGCAUGCCUGUUCGAGCGUCAUUUCAACCCUCAGGCCCUGCCUGGCGUUGGGGCGCCGCGGCGGCGAGAGCCCCGCGGGCCCUGAAAUACAGUGGCGAGCCCGCCUGGACUCCGAGCGUACUAGCAACACUCGCUCAGGGCGUCCCGGCGCGCGUCGGCCGUAAAACACCCCAACUCACCAAAGGUUGACCUCGGAUCAGGUAGGAAUACCCGCUGAACUUAAGCAUAUCAAUAAGCCAGAAGAA
Molecule: ribosomal RNA, 568 nt
Filed under: Pleurostoma richardsiae
Lineage: Eukaryota; Fungi; Ascomycota; Sordariomycetes; Calosphaeriales; Pleurostomataceae
Description: eukaryotic LSU rRNA
Rfam family: 5.8S ribosomal RNA (bases 191-344)
Source: RNAcentral